AUCACUUCUUAGCCUUUUGGCUAAGAUCAAGAGUAGUAUCUCUUCUUAUCAGUUUAAUAUCUGGUAUGUCCUCUAUCCAAGAACGAUAUAUUAAAUGGAUUUUUGAAGCAGGGUGAUGGCAUAGGGGCUUGCUCUGUCCACUCCAUGGUAUUGUAGAACAGUGCACCCCCUCUGCGGAAAUACUCUGAUAU
Small nuclear RNA from Nyctereutes procyonoides (raccoon dog), 191 nucleotides. RefSeq annotates it as U2 spliceosomal RNA. The transcript has a single exon. Lineage: Eukaryota; Metazoa; Chordata; Mammalia; Carnivora; Canidae. The record is from RefSeq and is a predicted model, not a curated record.